RNAcentral lists this long non-coding RNA (741 nucleotides) under Malus domestica (apple). RNAcentral describes it as "long non-coding RNA (MDOM_LNC009144)". The record is from RNAcentral. Lineage: Eukaryota; Viridiplantae; Streptophyta; Magnoliopsida; Rosales; Rosaceae.
AAAGAAGACCAAAACUAAUAAAGUAUAAAAAAAUAAAUCAAAAACAUAAAGAAUGGAACAUUAUAUAAUUGAUGCUUAAUACCAGGCGAGUUUUUUAUGGCAGGUAUAGAACUGAAGGGGAUGUGAAUAAGAAAGAGUUGUAGGGCAGAGAGCCCGAAUCAAUUUCUUGGUUGUUUACUUGAGGUUGGAGACGAGGCUCUCUUUCUUCUGCGCCACUCCACUUUCUGAUUUUUUUUUUUUUUUUCCAUUACAUUCCUUUAUAUGAUGCAUCUUCUUAAUUUCUUUGGCUGGUUUAACUGGAACUUUCAAAUUUAAGUUUAAGUUUAUGAGCUACAUCUGUUCAGUUCCUCCUCCAGCACCAAAUGACUCUUCACUCUCAGUUUCAUGCUUAGAUUAGUGUAGAUAUCCAAAUAGAUUUACUGAGUAAGAAGUUGAUCCCUACCCACUCUGGGCCUGGUGGUUUUGCGAACCUCGCAUUACGCACUAGGUCCACGGUUGGACAGGCUUACUGAGCAGACUAGUAGCAAAGCAGUUGGAAACGUACAUCCGCCUGAAAGAAUACGCUUGUAGACAGAUGGUUUCUGAGACAAAAUGAUUUUCGUUAUGCAACAUACAACCAUAUUUCAAACUCACUGCUCCAUGAAGGAUGAAAGCAGCCGGCGGUCAGCUUUCUGUAACUUAUACAUCUCGCGACUCUCUAACGCUUUAAGCUUAUAAAAUCCAAACUCAUGAGUUCUGAAG